RNAcentral lists this long non-coding RNA (342 nucleotides) under Lotus japonicus. RNAcentral describes it as "long non-coding RNA (LJAP_LNC000469)". Lineage: Eukaryota; Viridiplantae; Streptophyta; Magnoliopsida; Fabales; Fabaceae. The record is from RNAcentral.
AUAGUGCCUCCUAUUGUGAAACCACCAGUGAUAUUGCCUCCAGUUACAGUUCCUCCAAUCAUUGUCCCUCCGGUUGUGAAACCCACUCUUCCUCCGAUUCCAGGGGUGACACCCAUUCUUCCCCCGGUUCUGGUGCUAAACCCACCAAGCACUACUCCUACUACUCCUGGUUCUGGUUCAUGCCCACCACCAAAGUCUCCUCCUGGUGGCGGCGGGGGUUCGCAGGCGACAUGUCCCCUUGACCCGUUGAAAUUGGGAAGGGCUUGUGGAGGUUGAAGCUGCUGCAUGUCUCUGCACCACUUUGAAGCUCAAGCUUCUGAAUCUCAACAUCUAUGUGCCUCU